Molecule: long non-coding RNA, 401 nt
Filed under: Elaeis guineensis (African oil palm)
Lineage: Eukaryota; Viridiplantae; Streptophyta; Magnoliopsida; Arecales; Arecaceae
Description: long non-coding RNA (EGUI_LNC023619)
Source: RNAcentral
ACCUUACUCCGAUUGUUGACCGAUCUGAUUACUGACACUCAAGGCAUGACGUUCAGUUCAGAUAGUUAUUGAUAUCAGCUAUCCUACAUUAAUCCGAUGUGCCAUCAUAUCAACGCAUGGUUAUCUGAUAGCUAUCAUCCAACUCAGUUGUAACUGUCUUUCAAUUGUAUUCCAGCUUAUUUGCCACGUAGACAGCCGCCCCACGAUCUCUACAUAGCUUGCCAUUUUGUUAAAACAAGCAAAUGGCCUAAUAGAUCUUUAACAGCUUAACAGAUCUCUAACGAUCUAACAGAUCUCUAACGGCUUAACAAACCUUCCUUAAGGUCUAAGUAAGCUUUCUCUAUAAAAAGAGGACCAGCUUCUCUCUGAAAAAUAAAUCCAAGCUAAGUCUGAACUCACAG